GACGAGUCCGGCAAACGUUAUUCGGAAUUACUGGGCUUAAAGCGUGCGUAGGUGGUUCGAAGGGUUGGGAGUGAAAUCCCACGGCCUAACCGUGGAAUUGCUCUCAAAACCGUCGGACUUGAGGAGGUUAGAGGCGAGCGGAACUACGGGUGGAGCGGUGAAAUGCGUUGAUAUCCGUAGGAACACCGGUGGCGAAGGCGGCUCGCUGGGGCCUUUCUGACACUGAGGCACGAAAGCUAGGGCAGCGAACGGG
This 253-nucleotide ribosomal RNA is filed under the name uncultured bacterium. RNAcentral's name for it is "partial 16S ribosomal RNA". It matches the Rfam family "Bacterial small subunit ribosomal RNA", at positions 524 to 776 of the family's 1533-position model. The record is from RNAcentral.